This 513-nucleotide ribosomal RNA is filed under the name uncultured Actinomycetes bacterium. RNAcentral's name for it is "bacterial SSU rRNA". It matches the Rfam family "Bacterial small subunit ribosomal RNA", at positions 367 to 896 of the family's 1533-position model. The record is from RNAcentral. Lineage: Bacteria; Bacillati; Actinomycetota; Actinomycetes.
CGCAAUGGGCGGAAGCCUGACGCAGCGACGCCGCGUGGGGGAUGACGGCCUUCGGGUUGUAAACCUCUUCAGCAGGGACGAAGUUGACGUGUACCUGCAGAAGAAGCGCCGGCUAACUACGUGCCAGCAGCCGCGGUAAUACGUAGGGCGCAAGCGUUGUCCGGAAUUAUUGGGCGUAAAGAGCUCGUAGGUGGCUGGUCGCGUCUGCCGUGAAAGCCCGCAGCUUAACUGCGGGUCUGCGGUGGAUACGGGCCGGCUAGAGGUAGGCAGGGGCAAGUGGAAUUCCUGGUGUAGCGGUGAAAUGCGCAGAUAUCAGGAGGAACACCGGUGGCGAAGGCGGCUUGCUGGGCCUUACCUGACGCUGAGGAGCGAAAGCGUGGGGAGCGAACAGGAUUAGAUACCCUGGUAGUCCACGCCGUAAACGUUGGGCGCUAGGUGUGGGACCCUUCCACGGGUUCCGUGCCGGAGCUAACGCAUUAAGCGCCCCGCCUGGGGAGAACGGCCGCAAGGCUA